RNAcentral lists this unclassified non-coding RNA (520 nucleotides) under uncultured Glomus. Its description in RNAcentral is "SSU rRNA". It matches the Rfam family "Eukaryotic small subunit ribosomal RNA", at positions 569 to 1092 of the family's 1831-position model. Lineage: Eukaryota; Fungi; Glomeromycota; Glomeromycetes; Glomerales; Glomeraceae. The record is from RNAcentral.
AGCAGCCGCGGUAAUUCCAGCUCCAAUAGCGUAUAUUAAAGUUGUUGCAGUUAAAAAGCUCGUAGUUGAAUUUCGGGAUCAAUACGUCGGUCGUGCUUCGGUACGUACUGGCGUAAUUGAUUUCUCCCUUCUGACGAACCAUGAUGUCAUUAACUUGGUGUCAUGGGAAAUCAGGACUGUUACUUUGAAAAAUUAGAGUGUUUAAAGCAGGCUCACGCUUGAAUACAUUAGCAUGGAAUAAUGAAAUAGGACGUUCGAUCCUAUUUUGUUGGUUUUUAGGAUCAACGUAAUGAUUAAUAGGGAUAGUUGGGGGCAUUAGUAUUCAAUUGUCAGAGGUGAAAUUCUUGGAUUUAUUGAAGACUAACUACUGCGAAAGCAUUUGCCAAGGAUGUUUUCAUUAAUCAAGAACGAAAGUUAGGGGAUCGAAGACGAUCAGAUACCGUCGUAGUCUUAACCAUAAACUAUGCCGACUAGGGAUCGGAUGAUGUUAAUUUUUUAAUGACUCAUUCGGCGCCUUACG